RNAcentral lists this ribosomal RNA (254 nucleotides) under uncultured bacterium. Its description in RNAcentral is "partial 16S ribosomal RNA". It matches the Rfam family "Bacterial small subunit ribosomal RNA", at positions 524 to 776 of the family's 1533-position model. The record is from RNAcentral.
UACGUAGGGUGCGAGCGUUAAUCGGAAUUACUGGGCGUAAAGCGUGCGCAGGCGGUUUUGUAAGCCAGAUGUGAAAUCCCCGGGCUUAACCUGGGAACUGCAUUUGUGACUGGCAGGCUAGAGUAUGGCAGGGGGGGGGUAGAAUUCCACGUGUAGCAGUGAAAUGCGUAGAGAUGUGGAGGAAUACCGAUGGCGAAGGCAGCCCCCUGGGCCAAUACUGACGCUCAUGCACGAAAGCGUGGGGAGCAAACAGG